Molecule: ribosomal RNA, 307 nt
Filed under: uncultured bacterium
Lineage: Bacteria
Description: bacterial SSU rRNA
Rfam family: Bacterial small subunit ribosomal RNA
Source: RNAcentral
GACGAACGCUGGCGGUGUGCCUCAUACAUGCAAGUCGAACGAUAAGGUUCCUUCGGGAAUACAUAAGUGGCGGACGGGUGAGUACAAUGUAGGAAAUCUGCCUUAGGGUGGGGGACAACAGAGGGAAACUCCUGCUAAUACCGCAUAAUGCAGUUGGGUCGCAUGGCUCUGACUGCCAAAGAUUUUAUCGCUCUGAGAUGGCCUCGCGUCUGAUUAGCUGGUUGGUGGGGUAACGGCCUACCAAGGCGACGAUCAGUAGCCGGACUGAGAGGUUGACCGGCCACAUUGGGACUGAGACACGGCCCAG